Molecule: microRNA, 20 nt
Filed under: Drosophila melanogaster (fruit fly)
Lineage: Eukaryota; Metazoa; Arthropoda; Insecta; Diptera; Drosophilidae
Description: dme-miR-1013-3p
Source: miRBase by way of RNAcentral
AUAAAAGUAUGCCGAACUCG